RNAcentral lists this long non-coding RNA (2043 nucleotides) under Canis lupus familiaris (dog). RNAcentral's name for it is "lncRNA (ENSCAFG00000056160.1, ENSCAFG00845007886.1)". Lineage: Eukaryota; Metazoa; Chordata; Mammalia; Carnivora; Canidae. The record is from RNAcentral.
GACUCCAAGAUCACAACCUGAGCUGAAGGCAGAUGCUCAACUGCUGAGCCACUCAGGCGUCCCCAAAAUUUUAUUUAAGUAAUCUCUGCACCUAAUGUGGGACUCAAACUCACAACCAUGAUAUCAAGAAUUGCAUGCUUUACCUUCUGAACCAGCCAGGUGCCCCCCACUCAAAGAGAUAAAUCAGAGUGGCCAUAAGGGUAACCUACUUUGGAGCUCUAAUGAUUGGAGGGAAGGUGAGAAACAGCAGUGCUUUUGACACCGUGUCCUGGAGACUAGUGUUAUGAAGGCUUUAUGGGCUUGUUUUGAAGUUGUUUAGUCUUGACGUCAACUACUAUAAAGCCAGUGGGAAAGCCCAGGGAUCAGAAGGACUAAAUGUUACUUCACAGAAGCUAACUUAGAAUCUCUUUCUAAAUGUGAAUGGGACCUGGGGAAGAGAGAAGAAAGGGAGGACUGCUAUGAAUAAAGCAACCAAAUGAGCAUUAGGUCCAAAUACAACUAAGUGCCUGAGGAGAGGGGGCAAUGGAGAGAAGGCUGACAAUUGAGGUCAUAUUGACCUUGCAAGAUCCUCUUUAAAAUGAAGAGGCAAUGGUGCCCCCUGGUGGCUAUGGGUAAGCUGGGGGUGAGGGGAAUGCAAUCCAAACUUCAACUUAAACUGCCUGUAUCAGUAAUAGCUAAAAUUUAUACUUACAGGGAUGCCCAGGUGACUCAGCAGUUGAGCAUCUGCCUUUGGCUCAGGGCCUUAUCCCAGAGUCCUGGGAUUGAGUCCCACAUCGGGCUCCCCAAAUGGAGCCUGCUUCUCCCUUUGCCUGUCUCUGCCUCUCAUGAGUAAAUAAAUAAAAUCUUUAAAAAAAAAAAAUGUAUACUUACAAUUUUCAGGUACUAUAUAAAUAUGGUACACCCAUUAUCUUAAAAUUAAUCCUCACAACAAGUCUAAGGGAUGUAGGUAAUAGUAUCUUUACAGAGGAGGAAACCAAGGUUUAAAGUAUCCAGCUAAGGAUUAUAGUUCAUAAUUGGCCAGAAGCUGUAUCUUAACUACUAAGCUGUAUUGUUUUUAUGGUGAUGAAUGUGAAUUAUCAGCUGCAACUCAGGAUGGGGACUUCUGAGUCAUUGUUAACUGCCUCCUGGGCACAUCAGCUCAAUGUGUUCUAUAUUUUUGUGUGUGUGUGUGUGUUCUAUAUUUUUAAACAUUUUAUAAAAUAAAAACUAUAGUCUUACUUAUCUGUAAAACCUUUGUACAUCCAUACCUGAAAUAAAGGUAUGAGAGACGAACAUUUAGCACCUAAAGUGACCAAGGAGUAGGAUAGAUUUCUUCAAUGAAUAAUCCGUCUGGAGAGAUAGCUGAAAGUUGGAUAGAAUGCCUUUUCACUAUUGAUUAUUAGAGUCAGAGGGCAUGUGUCCAAACUUAGAGGUAGUUUUCAAACAAAAGUACUAGUGUACACAGACACUGGGGACUACAUGGAGAAUCCACUACAGGGAAUGAGAUAUAACAGACCAGUGGCCUAGGGAUAAGACGAUCACUAAGUCUUGGCUCAUGGAAGUCUUGACUCCCCAUGACACAACCUCUUUGAGCUUAGUUUCUUCAUCUGUAAAAUGGGAAUAACAUCUACUUCUUAGAACUGUUAAGAUUAAAUAAAGUAUAUGUGCUUGUUAUGAAUAUUCACCAUAUACUAGUUCCUUUGCCCUUCCUAGUCAUCCCUGUCCUAUAUUUAAAGGACUCUUAUCCCUCCUCUUAAUCCUCUUUAACAGCAUAAAAACUCUCUAAAACUUAUUUUUAUUUUUUGUUAAAGAUUUUAUUUGAAAGAGUAAGCAAGAGAGAGAGAAGCAGGCUCCUCGUUGUGCAGGAAGCCCAAUGCAGGGCUUGACCCAGGACCCUGGGAUCAUGACCUGAGCCGAAGGUAGAUGUUCAACUGACUGAGCCACCCAGGUGCCCCUAAAACUUAUUUUUAAAGGACUAGAUUUUCACAUAAUAAAUUUUCUUAGUCACAUCCAGAUCUCAUUGUAUACUGUCUUUGAGAAUGUUUCUUUAAGUUCUAACAUUUU